This 703-nucleotide long non-coding RNA is filed under the name Sorghum bicolor (sorghum). Its description in RNAcentral is "long non-coding RNA (SBIC_LNC012103)". Lineage: Eukaryota; Viridiplantae; Streptophyta; Magnoliopsida; Poales; Poaceae. The record is from RNAcentral.
CCAAUGCCGCACUUCGAACUGUUGGGCAACCGAAAAACAUGGGUGACACCGUAUCAAGAGGUGCAGAUGUCAAGGUCCACACCUAACUCAAAUGACGCACCUAAAGAAUAAACACGGUGAGAAGUCUUGUUCAGAAGACUUAAAACAUUGAACCCUCGCCGAAAGGUAAAAUCAGUAGUUAUCCAUAUUUAUCCUUUCUGCAUUCCCUUUUUUCUUAAAUUAUUUACUUUCCUUAAAUAGCUUGUUAGUUAAUCAUGCUAUCUUGAAAAGAAAAUAAAAAUGUUUAAAACAGUAAGCCCCAUGUGAGUAUCCUCGUGGCAUAAAACCCAUUCACUGUGGUGGCGUAAAAAUAAAAUAAAUAUAUUCUUGUCCUGUAAAAAUGAAAAUAUAAAAAUAAAUUUAUGAUCCUACUAAAGAGAGUAUUAUUUAUUAGAGGAAGCUCAACUUGAUAAAGGCUAAGAGAUUUUAUGCUAACACUUAACCAGUUCCACAAAGCUUUGUUGUCUAUUUGAGCUUCACAUAAUUUAAGGAUCAAGGAAGACUAGCAGACGGAGGAUAUCCUAAUCGCUAUUAGGGUGCUGCCAAUAUUCAAAUACACCUACGCCACCUGCUAGCUACAUCAGAAUAAAUUACGUUAAAAUCCAGCUUGGGGGAGAGCACCCCCAUUUAUCCAGUUAAGUGUUUCUACUCACAUUUAUACUUU